UAGGGAAUCUUCGGCAAUGGGGGGAACCCUGACCGAGCAACGCCGCGUGAGUGAAGAAGGUUUUCGGAUCGUAAAGCUCUUUUGUUAAGGAAGAACGAGUGUGAGAAUGGAAAGUUCAUGCUGUGACGGUACUUAACCAGAAAGGGACGGCUAACUACGUGCCAGCAGCCGCGGUAAUACGUAGGUCCCGAGCGUUGUCCGGAUUUAUUGGGCGUAAAGCGAGCGCAGGCGGUUAGAUAAGUCUGAAGUUAAAGGCAGUGGCUCAACCAUUGUAGGCUUUGGAAACUGUUUAACUUGAGUGCAGAAGGGGAGAGUGGAAUUCCAUGUGUAGCGGUGAAAUGCGUAGAUAUAUGGAGGAACACCGGUGGCGAAAGCGGCUCUCUGGUCUGUAACUGACGCUGAGGCUCGAAAGCGUGGGGAGCGAACAGG
RNAcentral lists this ribosomal RNA (429 nucleotides) under Bacteroidota bacterium. RNAcentral's name for it is "Bacteroidetes bacterium partial 16S ribosomal RNA". It matches the Rfam family "Bacterial small subunit ribosomal RNA", at positions 355 to 776 of the family's 1533-position model. The record is from RNAcentral. Lineage: Bacteria; Pseudomonadati; Bacteroidota.